RNAcentral lists this ribosomal RNA (667 nucleotides) under uncultured bacterium. RNAcentral's name for it is "bacterial SSU rRNA". It matches the Rfam family "Bacterial small subunit ribosomal RNA", at positions 74 to 741 of the family's 1533-position model. The record is from RNAcentral.
UGUUCUUCGGAAUGAGAGACCGGCGCACGGGUGCGUAACGCGUAUGCAAUCUACCUUUUACAGAGGGAUAGCCCAGAGAAAUUUGGAUUAAUACCUCAUAGUAUUAUGACUCGGCAUCGAGAUAUAAUUAAAGUCACAACGGUAAAAGAUGAGCAUGCGUCCCAUUAGCUAGUUGGUAAGGUAACGGCUUACCAAGGCUACGAUGGGUAGGGGUCCUGAGAGGGAGAUCCCCCACACUGGUACUGAGACACGGACCAGACUCCUACGGGAGGCAGCAGCGAGGAAUAUUGGACAAUGGGCGCAAGCCUGAUCCAGCCAUGCCGCGUGCAGGAUGACGGUCCUAUGGAUUGUAAACUGCUUUUGCACAGGAAGAAACAACAUUACGUGUAAUGUCUUGACGGUACUGUGAGAAUAAGGAUCGGCUAACUCCGUGCCAGCAGCCGCGGUAAUACGGAGGAUCCAAGCGUUAUCCGGAAUCAUUGGGUUUAAAGGGUCCGUAGGCGGUUUAGUAAGUCAGUGGUGAAAGCCCAUCGCUCAACGGUGGAACGGCCAUUGAUACUGCUAGACUUGAAUUAUUAGGAAGUAACUAGAAUAUGUAGCGUAGCGGUGAAAUGCUUAGAGAUUACAUGGAAUACCAAUUGCGAAGGCAGGUUACUACUAAUGGAUU